AACCUGGUUGAUCCUGCCAGUAGUCAUAUGCUUGUCUCAAAGAUUAAGCCAUGCAUGUCUAAGUAAAAAACUAAAUAAUGGUGAAACUGCAAAUGGCUCAUUACAACGGUUAUGAUGUACCCGGGAGUUCCGAUGGAUAUUUCCAGUAACACUAGAACUAAUACAUGCUCCUGCGUUUAUUAGUUUCGCACAGUCCGUCGCUGAGCCAUGGUAAACAGUUGAUCGACUCGACGUCCCGGAACAGUUUCCGCCCCAUCAGCUUCGAUGGU
This 269-nucleotide ribosomal RNA is filed under the name uncultured marine eukaryote. RNAcentral describes it as "partial 18S ribosomal RNA". It matches the Rfam family "Eukaryotic small subunit ribosomal RNA", at positions 1 to 329 of the family's 1831-position model. The record is from RNAcentral.